RNAcentral lists this ribosomal RNA (747 nucleotides) under Triticum aestivum (bread wheat). RNAcentral's name for it is "partial small subunit ribosomal RNA". The record is from RNAcentral. Lineage: Eukaryota; Viridiplantae; Streptophyta; Magnoliopsida; Poales; Poaceae.
AUGAAUAUCCUAAGUUGGAACUGUCGGGGCGGGGGGAACACCCGGACAGUUCGUGAUCUCGUGAGUCUAGUCCAGGCUCAUUCCCCUAGUAUUGUUUUUCUUUGUGAAACUAGGAAAUCAAAAAAUAAAAUGAAGAGGUAUUGUGCUAGGUUAGGCUUGAGAGGUUUUGACGCUUGUGAUAGCAUUGGUCUUAGUGGCGGUCUUGCUUUGUACUGGCAUGAGUCGUUGAGUCUUGAUGUAAAAGCUAUAAAUGAGAGAUACAUUGAUGUGUACGUGACUUCUGUGGCGGGUGAGCCACCUUGGAGGCUUACCCGCGUUUACGGCGAACCCCGGGUGGAGGACCGUCAUCACAUGUGGUCCCUCCUUCGGGAUCUCCACCAGCAAGCCGAUAUGCCAUGGGCUAUGUUUGGAGACUUCAACGAGGCGAUGUGGAGCUUUGAACACUUCUAUGAAUCGCCUAGGUCGGCAGGUCCGAUGAUCGACUUUCGUGAUGUUCUGGAAGUUUGUGGUUUGGGUGAUCUUGGUUUUGCAUGCCUACCUUAUACGUAUGAUAAUCGCCGAAGUGGCCGGGCUAAUGUUAAAGUCCGGUUGGACCGUGCUGUUGCCAACAACGCUUGGCGUGACUUGUUCGCUAGCGCCAAGGUGGAGCACAUUGUGGCACCUAGCUCGGAUCACCUAGCUAUUUUGCUACGGUGUCUACUUGAGGACCCUCUACCAGUGACCGGCAGGAAAAUGCCGCCAAUAUGA